This 450-nucleotide ribosomal RNA is filed under the name uncultured bacterium. RNAcentral describes it as "partial 16S ribosomal RNA". It matches the Rfam family "Bacterial small subunit ribosomal RNA", at positions 29 to 523 of the family's 1533-position model. The record is from RNAcentral.
AACAAACGCUGGCGGCAUGCCUAACACAUGCAAGUCGAACGAGACCUUCGGGUCUAGUGGCGCACGGGUGCGUAACGCGUGGGAAUCUAUCCAUGGGUGGGGGAUAACACUGGGAAACUAGUGCUAAUACCGCAUGAUACCUGAGGGUCAAAGGCGCAAGUCGCCUGUGGAGGAGCGUGCGUUCGAUUAGCUAGUUGGUGGGGUAAAGGCCUACCAAGGCGAUGAUCGAUAGCUGGUUUGAGAGGAUGAUCAGCCACACUGGGACUGAGACACGGCCCAGACUCCUACGGGAGGCAGCAGUGGGAAUAUUGGACAAUGGGGGCAACCCUGAUCCAGCAAUGCCGCGUGUGUGAAGAAGGUCUUCGGAUUGUAAAGCACUUUCGACGGGGACGAUGAUGACGGUACCCGUAGAAGAAGCCCCGGCUAACUUCGUGCCAGCAGCCGCCGUAA